RNAcentral lists this transfer RNA (76 nucleotides) under Oscillospiraceae bacterium. RNAcentral describes it as "tRNA-Thr". It matches the Rfam family "tRNA". From Rfam's summary of the family: Transfer RNA (tRNA) molecules are approximately 80 nucleotides in length. Lineage: Bacteria; Bacillati; Bacillota; Clostridia; Eubacteriales; Oscillospiraceae. The record is from RNAcentral. RNAcentral also lists the same sequence under 1 other name.
GCUAGUGUAGCACAGCCGGUAGUGCAGCUGAUUCGUAAUCAGCAGGUCGCGUGUUCGAGUCACGUCACUAGCUCCA